UACGGAGGGGGCUAGCGUUGUUCGGAAUUACUGGGCGUAAAGCGCACGUAGGCGGACUUUUAAGUCGGGGGUGAAAUCCCAGGGCUCAACCCUGGAACUGCCUUCGAUACUGGAGGUCUGGAGGUCGAGAGAGGCGAGUGGAAUGCCGAGUGUAGAGGUGAAAUUCGUAGAUAUUCGGCGGAACACCAGUGGCGAAGGUGGCUCGCGGGCUCGAUAAUGACUAUGAGGUGCGAAAGCGUGGGGAGCAAACAGG
RNAcentral lists this ribosomal RNA (253 nucleotides) under uncultured bacterium. RNAcentral's name for it is "partial 16S ribosomal RNA". It matches the Rfam family "Bacterial small subunit ribosomal RNA", at positions 524 to 776 of the family's 1533-position model. The record is from RNAcentral.